UUGAUCAGUUCUUUGCUUUUUAAAAAUCCCUAUCCAUCCUGUUAAAAAGAAAAUUAACUAUUAAGAGGUAUUAAAAGAUUCAAUUCUUAGAUGGACAGGGUUUAAAACCUUUUGUAAUAUAUUCAAAUGUAUAUUUUUGAGAGAGAUGCUGCAUUGCCAAUGGAAUGUCAUUAAGUAUUUCUGAAAUGUUUCUAAAAAGUGAACAUUUAAAAAAUACUGUGUUUUCUCCCUAGCUUCCUGUUAUAGCAUUUCCAAUUGCUUCAUACUUCACAGUUUUAAUGAAUACAAAGUAUAAGCUCUACUUUAUAACACAUCCUGUAGGUUUCUUUAAAACUGUUUUUAUAUUCCA
RNAcentral lists this long non-coding RNA (349 nucleotides) under Bos taurus (domestic cattle). Its description in RNAcentral is "long non-coding RNA NONBTAT018431". Lineage: Eukaryota; Metazoa; Chordata; Mammalia; Artiodactyla; Bovidae. The record is from RNAcentral.